Molecule: long non-coding RNA, 386 nt
Filed under: Chlamydomonas reinhardtii
Lineage: Eukaryota; Viridiplantae; Chlorophyta; Chlorophyceae; Chlamydomonadales; Chlamydomonadaceae
Description: long non-coding RNA (CREI_LNC000454)
Source: RNAcentral
CCGGCAAGUAAAGCUCUUCUCCAUGGUACAGGCGGUCCAGCUGCUGCCAGAACGCUUAGAUCUCAGCAGGCGACAUCAUGCGGCCAGAGAACUUGACCUUGAUGGGGUUGACGUUCUGGCCGAUGCGGCGCAUGUUCUGGUUCGCGCCCACGCGGCCAGCGUUCACCUUCUCGGGGUAGACGCCGUCAGCAGGGUGCAGGUACUGCACCUUGCCGUCGGGGAAGACGCGGUAGAAGCAGGGGGUCAGCUUGAACUUGUUGCGGAGCUGGGUCGUCAGGGCGAGGCACUGCUCCUUCUUGCCGAACUUCAGCAGGUUGGGGCCCUGGCGCAUGAUAGCGGCACCGCCAGUGGGCAUCUCGAAGAUCUGCUCCUUCUUAGCCUCCCAG